Molecule: long non-coding RNA, 173 nt
Organism: Danio aesculapii
Lineage: Eukaryota; Metazoa; Chordata; Actinopteri; Cypriniformes; Danionidae
Exons: 3
Source: RefSeq, a predicted model, not a curated record
AUCAGCUGUGGUCCGCCGUCGGCGAGCGGCUCAUGACCAGACCAGUCGCUUUUUUCCACGAUCGCCGGGACGUUUACAACAUUUUAAAGCAGUUUCAGCUCAAAAUGGACCCACUACCAGUUUGUGAGCUGAUAUGCAGUGGAAAUUGACAUCCAGAAGGAAGUCAUAAAGGA